UCAACAAGAAAAGCUUUUCAUUUAUAUAUAAUUUUUGCCAUGGCAGCCAAAAAGGCUUAAGGCAAACAAAAGAUGGAAAUGAAGAGCAUUGAAAAUCAAGAUGUUAGGCAUUUUCUAAACGGAGAUCUAGUAUCUACAAAAAGCGGUGGCGCUCAGCAGCUUGUGGAGGAACGUAGGCGUGUAAGAAUUCAAGAAUUAGACAGCUAGGGUCUGAUACGAAAAAGGGUCAAGAACUAGAGGAAAAGUUAAUAGAGAAUGAGAGAAAAGGAUGGUGGGAUGCUUCUAUCGAAGAGCUUAACUUACUAAAGCUUAUUGAGUUGGAGAAUAAGUUCAAGACUUUACACACGUCCUUGUGCAACGAAGCCAUGGACAGCAAUGAUAGAGCUUCUUCUUCUUCAAGAGUUCCACAGUCAAAUUAAUUAUCCUUCUUAAAAAAAGCUAUAUUCAUCUUUUAUUCUUAUCUUAUUUAUUUAUUUAUCUUUAUUUCUA
Populus nigra (black poplar) is the source of this 489-nucleotide long non-coding RNA. RefSeq lists it as uncharacterized. The transcript has 2 exons. Lineage: Eukaryota; Viridiplantae; Streptophyta; Magnoliopsida; Malpighiales; Salicaceae. The record is from RefSeq and is a predicted model, not a curated record.